Long non-coding RNA from Canis lupus familiaris (dog), 631 nucleotides. RefSeq lists it as uncharacterized. Lineage: Eukaryota; Metazoa; Chordata; Mammalia; Carnivora; Canidae. The record is from RefSeq and is a predicted model, not a curated record. The transcript has 3 exons.
CCUGAGUGGAAACAAAGAGAGGAUUCUGAGUCCCCACUCACCAUCAAGAGAUCAAACGGCAGGUGGAUCACAGAGACACAAGGUGGAGGGCAGGCCGUGAAGAGCCGGCAAUGACCAGCACAGUGAUUUCUGACCUAAGCCCUGUUGAGACUGCAAGUGGGCACAGUCUCCAUUCCCAGUUCCUAAGAAGCUUCCUGCAAUGACUUUGGCUAAAGCCACAGGGAUCCUUGCCUCAGCCAGGAAUUACUGAGCCUGAUUAUCUCCAAGGCACCUGCCAGCUUGGACAUUCUAUGAAACGAGCAAAAUUAGGAAAAAUGUGAAGCAUGUUAAGUGAAGAAGGUUUGCACACAAAGAUGGAGCAAAAAGUCACAGAACAAUCUGCAGCAGAGGUAAACUGCAAGCACCAAGCCUCCUACAGGAGUGUGCGAUGCCAGUAAAUCGCACUGAUCCAGGCUGGGAGCAAGAUGCUGUGUCUGAACACCCUCGGGCCAGAGAAGCAGAAGCUCUGAGUUCCUGUCACCACCACCCCCCACCCCGCCCCCUGCUUUUACCUGUCACCCCAACUCUCUGGGGAUAGCAGCACCUACCUCACAUAUUACUGUGAUGAUUAAAUGUGAAAACACAUAUGAAA